Molecule: long non-coding RNA, 213 nt
Filed under: Daucus carota (carrot)
Lineage: Eukaryota; Viridiplantae; Streptophyta; Magnoliopsida; Apiales; Apiaceae
Description: long non-coding RNA (DCAR_LNC001327)
Source: RNAcentral
UGUUAUGACUGAAUUUAGCAUGAAAAAAAGGACAAGAGCGCGCCCUUCCCGGAGUAAUUCCGAGGGCGCGGCCCUAAAGUGCGGGGUUGACUGAAGGCGCGUGGAGAAACGAGAAUGCGAGGACUUAGGGCGCGCCCUCCAUGGUCGCGCCCACAGGUAAUCUUAUUAUGUGUGAGGAUGAGUGAGUCUCGAUGACGACCCUUCCGAGGGAUA